This 357-nucleotide long non-coding RNA is filed under the name Homo sapiens (human). Its description in RNAcentral is "non-protein coding lnc-TRIML1-7:1". The record is from RNAcentral. Lineage: Eukaryota; Metazoa; Chordata; Mammalia; Primates; Hominidae.
AUGCAGUUCUUGGUCCGCGCCCCGGAGCUACACGCCCUCCAGGUGACCGGCCAGGAGACGGUCUCCCAGGUCGCGGCUCAGGCAGCGCCACUGGAGGGCUUCGCCCCGGAAGAUCUAUCGUGCUCCUGGCAGGCGCGUCCCUGCAGGGCGAGGCCACCCUGGACCAGGGCGAAGUGGGAGGCCCCGACUGCCCGGGAGGCCAAGUCCGUGGUUCCCCGGCCCGCGCUGGGAAAGUGACAGGUCAGACUCUUGCUAAGGUGGCCAAGCGAGAAGACAGGCCGGGCUGAGCCGCGGGUGCGGUACCACCGGCGCUUUGUCGACGUUGUGCCCAUCUUUGGCAAGAAGAAGGGCCCCAAU